UGCCAGUCUGAAAGUUAGGCUAGGGUCAC
RNAcentral lists this non-coding RNA (29 nucleotides) under Rattus norvegicus (Norway rat). Lineage: Eukaryota; Metazoa; Chordata; Mammalia; Rodentia; Muridae. The record is from RNAcentral.